CCCUUAGAUGUCCUGGGCCGCACGCGCGUUACACUGAUGCAUUCAACGAGCUUAUAACCUUGGCCGAGAGGCCUGGGCAAUCUUGUUAACGUGCAUCGUGAUAGGGAUAGAUUAUUGAAAUUAUUAAUCUUGAACGAGGAAUUCCUAGUAAACGCAGAUCAUCAAUCUGCAUUGAUUACGUCCCUGCCCUUUGUACACACCGCCCGUCGCUACUAUCGAUUGAGCGGUUCAGUGAGGGCCUCGGAUUGGUCUCGGUCUGGCGUGCAAGCGCCGGCACCGUUGGCCGAGAAGACGCUCGAACUCGAUCGCUUGGAGAAAGUAAAAGUCGUAACA
This 333-nucleotide ribosomal RNA is filed under the name uncultured eukaryote. Its description in RNAcentral is "partial 18S ribosomal RNA". It matches the Rfam family "Eukaryotic small subunit ribosomal RNA", at positions 1470 to 1796 of the family's 1831-position model. The record is from RNAcentral.